AUGAUGGGUUUUAUGUAUUUUUUUUUUAGGGCGUUACAUAUCAUCCCAAACCAACAUAGCCUUGAAAGGUCCUCCGCCUGCGACGCCGGCAAGAAGCUUCUAGUCUUUGAAGUCGUCUCCUUUAGCUUCUUUCUCUUCUCCUCCUUAGUCGCUGAGGGCCUCAAGCUUGCCAUCAAUCUCUUGAACAGCAAGGAUGUCGAUGAGGCAUUUCGGGUCAAUCAGUGGUCUUAUGCUGUUUUCUGGAAGAUUGGUUGCCAAAACCCUAAGUUUUGGGCAUACUUACUGUUUGGUUACUAGAAAAGUGGAGGGAAAGGGGAAAAGACUAAGGGUUUCUUCAUGUGGUAUGCAAAAAUGAAAAUUUUCUUUCUUUUAAUCGUUCUUGUACCUAUUCUGCAUCUGGGUUUCUUCAAGUUUUUGCAGAUGUUUGAUUCACUUUUUGUUUUCACUUGAAAUCUGAAUUUGUUCAUCUGGGUUUGCUUGCAUAUGUACAUAUCAGUUGGACUUGAUUAUGUUCUACAUGUUGUCUUUGUUAAUGUGCAUAUCAUGCAAUUGGAUUUUGAUCUCAAUUCCCAUAUAACAUUUUAUUUUAGUAGCCUAAGAAAUUUGAAGAUGUUUUAGAGAUUAAUGGGUAACAAGUAUGUAGAAUUAAUCAGUUGAAUUGUUUGUAAAAAUGAUAAUUUAAACUUGACAAGUGAAUCCUUUGCUUGUUUGCUUUGUGUACUGUCUAAAUGGGCUUAAAGCAGUUUUUCUAUCACCAUAGUGCUCAAACAAAAAAAAAAGAAAAAAAAAAAGAAAAUUGUGUGUAGCUCUUUCUAUUUCACUGAUUUCUUUGCCCUGUGUUUCAAGCAUGUAUUUUUCAAGAUUUUCUCUUAUCCCAGUGCAGUUUUUAACUUUCUGGUAUGUUUCCACUAUGCAAGAUCACUUAGAUGUUCAUUUGCAUAUGUGAUUUAACCAUUGAAGUUUUGGGCAAGUAUGACUUUUUGUAAUGGAGCUAUGCUACAGAGUUUGAAUGGGCCAACAUGCCUAGCCCCUUUUCUAUUUUUAAUUUGCUACGGUUCUUAUCAAUUAACUUUAGUGUCAAAGGUUGAAGUUGAAUCACAGUCUGCUAUCUGCUAUGCCUCUACUAUAUAUUUUUGAAGCAGAAAAUUUGUAAGGUUCUUUUUCUGUAAUAAAAAUUUAUUGACUCUAUCGUAAAUUUGAUUGCUGAUGUUGGUUGAAAAUCUAGACUAUUUUUGAGAUGUGAAUAACCAUUAUGCAGUUCUUAUAUAAUGAAUUUUUCUGUAAUUGUUUUUUAUAUAUGUCAUUUGGUCUCAAUAAGAGUAUGAGCUGCUCUUACUUGCCAUUGUUCUAACAGACUAACCUAAAUCCAAAUUAGAUGUAACAAGAAAAGUACCACAAUUGUUAUGCUUGUCCCUUACAUUUCAAUAGAGUAUUGUCCUAUCGUAUUGUCUCUUAAGUAUAUUUUUCAUGUUUUUUUGUUUUUUUGAAAAUGUAAUAAUUUCAUUAAACAUUUAGCAAGAAUUAAGAAAAUUGCUUAAGAAAACUGUCUGUGUUGUUGGCUACAUGUUGUAUGUGCUUUUUAUGCUAUCUGCACCUGUUUACGUUGCGUUGUCUUUGUUGCUGGUUCUGGUUUGCUGUUUAUGCUACUAGUGCUGGUGUUGAUAUGUUAUAGUGGUGUUAGCCAGAUAUAGUUCUGCUGUUCUGCUGACCUGUGUGCUGGUGUUGCUUAGUGCUAGUGCUACGUAGUUGACCUAUGGUUGCCGUUGUUACUGGGUUUUUUUUUUUUUUCUAUUUUGCCACGCUGCUAGCUUCUAUACAGGUGUACCUUGCCAAAAGUUAAACUUUUGAACUUUGAAGUGACCCCAACAGAUGAAGAUUGUACAGUUGAGAUAUUAUCGUGCAAGAUAUCGAUUGAUUUUCCAGAUGAUGGUGCAUGGAAAUAGUUUCAUAAACAGCUGCAGCAUUUCCCAAUGUUGUUAACAACAAUAUAGGAGUAUGAGGAGACAAGUGAAGAACCAGUGCAAGCUGCCUUGAAGAAAGUGAACAACAAGAAGUUGAAGAAGCUGAAGAUAAAGAAACACUGGUAGAUACACAACAGGAGACUAAGCCUGAGCUUGAGCCUAAGGAGGAGGAAGUUCCACCGUUGAUAUCAACUGACCAAACUGAGGAUCUGUUGGGUUUAAAUGAAAUAAAUCCUAAAGCUGCCGAACUAGAAGAAAGUAAUGCAUUAGCACUUGUUAUAGUUCCACCUGCAGGAGAUGAAGAGUCAGUGUGAUGAGAAAAAGUCUGAUUAUAUCUUUUGUAAGACUAGAAUAGUCUCUAUAAAUAGUUAGUUUAUUCAUAUGCUUCUGCGGUUUCUGAAUUAAUUUGUGUUUUCAUUUUUCAGGUCAGAAAUUUCUUGGAGGGAUGCAAAAUAUGGGUCAAAGAACUAAAUAACUUAGUUUGUUAAGUUUUUUCAUUUUUUAAUAUAUGUAAGCACAGUUAAAUUUUUUUUAUUUAAUUCAUUUGUAUAUACUUUUAAACAUUUAAUUCAAUUUAUGAAAUAUAUGAUAUU
This is a non-coding RNA of Camellia sinensis, 2554 nucleotides long. NCBI's taxonomy places the organism in Eukaryota, Viridiplantae, Streptophyta, Magnoliopsida, Ericales, Theaceae. The record is from RefSeq and is a predicted model, not a curated record.